AACGAACGCUGGCGGCAGGCUUAACACAUGCAAGUCGAGCGAGACCUUCGGGUCUAUCGGCGGACGGGUGAGUAACGCGUGGGAACGUGCCCUUCUCUACGGACUAGCCCCGGGAAAGUGGGAGUAAUACCGUAUAGGCCCUUUAGGGGAAAGAUUUAUCGGAGAAGGAUCGGCCCGCGUUGGAUUAGGUGGUUGGUAGGGUAAUGGGCCACCAAGGCGACGAUUCAUAGCUGGGGUGAGGGGAUGGUCAGCCACACUGGGACUGAGACACGGCCCAGACUCCUACGGGAGGCAGCAGAGGGGAAUCUUAGACAAUGGGGGCAACCCUGAUCGAGCCAUGCCGGGUGAAUGAUGAAGGCCGUAGGGAUGUAAUGCUCUUUCAGCUGGGAAGAUAAUGACGGUACCAGCAGAAGAAGCCCCGGCUAACUACGUG
RNAcentral lists this ribosomal RNA (433 nucleotides) under uncultured bacterium. RNAcentral's name for it is "partial 16S ribosomal RNA". It matches the Rfam family "Bacterial small subunit ribosomal RNA", at positions 29 to 507 of the family's 1533-position model. The record is from RNAcentral.